This 3136-nucleotide long non-coding RNA is filed under the name Marmota monax (woodchuck). Lineage: Eukaryota; Metazoa; Chordata; Mammalia; Rodentia; Sciuridae. The record is from RNAcentral.
UGCCCAGCACCCAGCCCCCCAGAACAGAGCAACAAAAACAGAGUCCAAAGAGCUUCUGAGCAGCCAAGGCAAUGUUUGAGGUCUGCCCUUAAAAUCCCAUAGAACACUUCUUGCCCUAAGGUGGAGUUUAUAGAGAAAUACUGCUACUUCCAACUUAUAAACCUGAAGUUCCACGUUCCUGGAGGGAACUAUCCGGGAAUGAAGGGCCAUCAAUUACUGCCAUCUGGUUAGAUUGGAAACAGAAGACUGGGGAAGACGGUGGAAAGAGGAAAUAAAGACCAGCUGAGGUAAGCGACUGUUCUUGUCAAGGGGGAGGUCGGGGCAAACCACAGUAAGUUAGAGGAAGAAAAUAACUUGAGGUCUAACAGUUUCAUUUUGGACAAUAAAUCCCACAUGCCUCCAAGGGCCCUAGCACCAUGGUUCUCAAUCUCAGAAAACCUGGAAAAAAAUGGUUUAAAAUGCAGAUUCCAGAGGACCUUCCCAGAUAUUCUAUUUGGGGGGUACCUAGGGUCAGGUCCAGGAAUCUAAAGCUUGUUUCAUAAGAUCCUGUUACUUCUGUAACAGUUAAUCCUUGGACCCCUUUUCAGAACACACUGACCUAAACGUAUGAGUACACCCCAGUUAUUCAUUCCUUCAACUGAUAUAUGUUUAAAAUAUAACUGGGAAUUACAGAGAGAUGACAAAAGCCUAGCCCUACCCUUAGAAAGCCCACAGCCUGUCGGAUAUAAAAACAGGUAAAUAAAAUCUGUGGGGUCACUGCUGCACAGACAUGGGUGUGUGCGGGGGGUGGGGGUGGGGGGGGGCUCAUGUGCCACAUCAAUAACACGACAAACCCUACUUUGGCAGGUCUGAGAAGCUUCCAUGGAUGAGAAGUUGGAGCUACACAGUAAACAAGGAUGAAUUCACCAAGCUGACAUAAGGGAAAGAACAUUUCAAUACCAGUAGGUCCUCAGGUUAAGAAAGUGAGGACAUUAAACUGAGGUUGAACUGUAAACCUGACAUGGAGCCUGAAGGACAGAGAGGGAAAUAGCAGAGGAUAGGUAGGAAUGUCCGGGGAAGGGCCAGAUGGAAGGCAAUUCCAAACCACAAACGCUCAUGUUAAGAAGCUCUCUUGAGGGCAGUGGGGAUGACUGACAGCAUUAAUGAAAAAAAAAUUUACAUGUAAUCAGAUUUGUGCCUUUGCUCACUCAGACUCCAGUUGGGAUCAUACUGCUUGUUAUGGAUGAUCAAUUUGAUUGGAUUAAGACAUGCUUAAGGUUAAAGGCUUCUGGGUAUCUCAAUGAGGGAGAUUCUAGGAAUAAUUGGCAUGUGGGACAGCAAACUUUGGCAGACACCCACCCUAAGUGUAGGCAGCAGAGUCCAAUAGGUUGGAGGCUUGGAGAGAACAAAAUUUGGAAGAACAAGGAGGCAGCAGCAGAUGCAAGCUUGAUUCUUCUUGGAUGGGUUCUUGAUUGCUUCUGCGCUGGGCUGAGAACAUUGUACUCUUGCUCCUUCACUCUUCCAAAGCAGACUCUGCCCAGUGACUCUCCAGGGAGUUUUCAGGCCUUUGGUCCCAAACCAGAGCUACAAAUCAUUUAUCCCUCUUGUUCUGAUGUUAGAGUCUGUAAACAAGUCAAAAUAACACCUGGCAUUUUGCCAGGAGAAUGUUAGAGUUCGUAAACAAGUCUGGAUGGUGCCUGGCAAAAUGCCAGAGGGAGUGGUUUGAGAAGUAACAAAAGCAAGCCAUUAAGUGUGGAGAUUCCUUAUUGGUUGACUGAUGUAUCUAGUUUAUGCUAAUUAGAUAAGCUGUGUGUAAUGUAUAAAUACUGCUCCUGUCCUGCAAUAAAUGGCUCCCACUCCUGCUGUAUCAAUCUACACAAGUUGCUCUGUCACCCCCCGGUUAUUUUGCUGCAGCCGGACUCCGGCAUUCUGAGGUUUCCAGCUUCUUGAACUGAGGAGCUAUUUGUUCCUCCAGCACUCCAGGCUGCAGAUGGCCAUUAUGGACUACCCAGCUUCUGGUUGUAUAAACCAAUCUAAUAACUUCCCUCUUUAUAAUCAUAUAUAUAUAUGAUCAUAUAUCAUAUGUGUGUAUGUAUCUUGGUUGUGUUCUUUUAGAGAACUCUGACUAAUAAAGUGCAGAAGAUAAAGAUAUUGAAGGUGAAGAUGACAGCCUUUAUUUAAGUAAUGGUAACAGUGGAGAAGCACAAGAUGCUGAAAUUGUUUGGUGAGAUAACAAAUAAAUUGUGGCUAGAACUGUUGUAUGAAGCCCUAUGGAUACCAUUAUAUUACAAGCCCACAAUCUUUUAACUUCAAUUCCAAAAUUAUUUAUCCUCAAUCCCAAAGCCAAAAAGCUCUGGAAAAAAAAUUAUAGUAAUUGAUUUAGUAGCAGCACCUGACCUGCCUUAAAGUAAUUUGUGACAAAACCUACCCUGAUCUGAAACUCUAAUUUUCGGUUAUCCCAUUAGUGGAAUCAUUCCUAUAUUUCACUGCUGAACUAUUUUGAAUUAUAUGGUUCCUUGGAGCUGUGCUCUAUCCUGUGCAGGGUGUUAUAGAACACAUGGUUUAGGGUUCAGAUUUACUUUCUAAAAUCAGAGCAAUCUGAAUUUACAUAUACUUUGGGCCCCUAGUGUUUUGAAUAAGGAAUUUGGGAUCUGUAAAAAUAGAGCAAAGAUAUUGCUCCCACCUAAGCACCAAAGCAUCAAACAGAAGGGGAAACCAACAAGAUGCAGACCUGGACAUGAAGAAAAGGAAGGACUCUUGUCUCUGGCUUGGGUUUAGGACAACAGAGACUAUCACAAUCCAGAAUGAGGAAGAAGAAGGAACAAAAGAUUAAAGAACAUUCAAUGGAAGUUUAGACUAAAAAAUAGGAAAUUUUUAAUUUGAAUUGUUGAUUUUUUAAAAAGUGUUUACAUGGGCUCAUUAUACAUAUCUGGAAAAUCUACUUGUCUUGGAACACCUCAAACUUCUUCAAACCUAAAUAAAUUAAUAAUGAUAAUAAUAAUAAUAACAAUAAUAAUGCCUGACAUUGGUGGGAUACAUCAGAGCUUAUCCAGCACUUUCUAAAACUGUUGCAUUUAGUUCUAAACAACUCUAAAGCAUUUUUGUAAGCAUGUGCUUAUGGACUUACGGACUUAUGGACUUUGAAUUAAAUCUUAAU